AGAGUUUGAUCCUGGCUCAGAACGAACGCUGGCGGCAUGCCUAACACAUGCAAGUCGAACGAGACCUUCGGGUCUAGUGGCGCACGGGUGCGUAACACGCGGGAAUCUGCCCACAGGUUCGGAAUAACUCAGGGAAACUUGAGCUAAUGCCGGACGAUGCCGAAAGGCCAAAGAUUUAUCGCCGUUGGAUGAGCCCGCGUCGGAUUAGCUAGUUGGUGGGGUAAAGGCCUACCAAGGCGACGAUCCGUAGCUGGUCUGUGAGGAUGACCAGCCACACUGGGACUGAGACACGGCCCAGACUCCUACGGGAGGCAGCAGUGGGGAAUAUUGGACAAUGGGCGAAAGCCUGAUCCAGCAAUGCCGCGUGAGUGAAGAAGGCCUUAGGGUUGUAAAGCUCUUUUACCCGGGAAGAUAAUGACUGUACCGGGAGAAUAAGCCCCGGCUAACUCCGUGCCAGCCGCCGCGGUAAUAC
RNAcentral lists this ribosomal RNA (472 nucleotides) under uncultured bacterium. Its description in RNAcentral is "bacterial SSU rRNA". It matches the Rfam family "Bacterial small subunit ribosomal RNA", at positions 8 to 526 of the family's 1533-position model. The record is from RNAcentral.